Molecule: non-coding RNA, 2046 nt
Organism: Hydra vulgaris (swiftwater hydra)
Lineage: Eukaryota; Metazoa; Cnidaria; Hydrozoa; Anthoathecata; Hydridae
Source: RefSeq, a predicted model, not a curated record
GUUUUUUUAUUUUCUUUAUAUAUGGUUUUGGGGUUGGGUGUUAAUCAGAUUUAAUUUUAGUGUGUCGCAAAGACAAAGAAGUGGUGUGGCUCACGUUAUAAUGUCAAACAAACUAUCCUUUUACCUCAUACAUGUAUUUUCAAAAAUACACAAAAUUUAUAGAAAUCAUUGCCUGCUUCUAAACUUGAUGUCUGUGUAAUAAAGCUCUAAACUAAGAAAAUAAUAGAGCAAUAAGAUUCAGCCAAAGUAAGUAAAAUUCAGUUUAACUAUUAUGUAGACAAGUGAAAUGUUUCAAGUUACAUUUUGUUUCUUUCUAAUCGUUUUUUGUUUUAGCCCUUGCAAUUUUUUUUUCUUCUCGAAUUCUUUAUUACAUGGUUUUUGUAUGUAUUUUCACACUUGAUUUUAUCCAAGUUAUGGUAACAAUUAUAUUAUUGCAUCAGAUAUUUCAUGUUUUCAAUAGUGUUAUAGUGUGCUGUUUGCUUGUUUAACUGGUUACAAUUUUAGUUAUAAAGUAUAAAGUAAAUGGUCAAUGCAAAUAAGAAUUAUGAAUGUCACUCCAGCGAUCAUUUUGUAAGCUACUUAGUAGUUAGAUGUGAAGCUUUUUAAUAUUUUGUUUUUCUUUUCUUAUUUUCUUUUCCCUUUAAUCAUUUCAUGUUUAGUGCAAUAAAAGACAAAGCGGAGGUCUUGCUUUUAUCAAGUAAAUAUUAAACUAACAGUUUAUAAAUGAGAAUGUCUUUACAUUGUGCAACGAGAAAUCAAUUGUUUUUUGUUUUUUUUAUUGAAGUUUAAUGUUUGGCUUGCUUCUUUGCUAACAUUUGUUUUAGUAGUUCGUUAAAAUAUUUGACAAAAAAGCGAUAAAUUUAUAUACUGCAGAUAUUUUAAAUAAAUGUUUUUUCUCCUUAACUUUCAAAUUAUGGAAUCAUUAGACGGGAUCGAUCUGCAAAUGUAAGUUUAAUAAAAUGUUUCAAAGUACUUUUUGUUUUAUGCUAUUUGUUUUUGGUUUGGCGCUGUCAAUAUUUCAGUUUUAGCUCUAUGUGUCUUUGGCGUGGCUCUUUGUUUUACCUCAAGCGAAGGUAACAGAUUCAAAUUCGCAUCUGUUGAUUUAAGUUUUUAAUCCUAUUGAGGUGUGUUGCUUCUUCGCUUUAAUAGUUUCAAUUUUAGCUAUAAAGUAUAAGAUAAAGACUAGCUAUAGCUAUAAAGUAUAGGUGUAAAAUAUGGAAAAGAAACAUUAAACUCACUGAUUGCCAAAAUUUAGCAGUUUACAAACAUAGAACAGAGGUCUAGUGCACAUAUCGUGGUUUGUAAGCUAUUCACUUGAGGUCUUUAUAAAGCAAUGCAUGAUUUUCAAUUCUUGUACUACAAGUAUUAAAAGUAAUGAUUUCAAACAAUGUUUAUCUGUUUUGUUUUUUGCUAACAAUUUUAUUAUUAGCCCGAAGAACACUCUUAUUCAAAAAACCAAGUUCAAUCAUUGUGAACAGAAUAAACGAUCAGCUUUUAGUAAAGUACUUUCUUUUACCUAAAUCUUGUUUUUAAUGUCAAAUUAUAGACUGUCAAAGAGCAAAAUUGUAAAUGUUGUAUUUGCCGAUUCAAAAUGCUGUUUAUUUAGGUUUUAGGUUAAAGUUUUUUUGUAUUAGUGCAAUUUUAAAGUAAUGGUCUCCUGUAUAAGGCUAUUAAUACGUUUACAGUUAGAUGAAUGUUCUGUUUUACUGUUUCCUAAAAUGUGCAGUAAGACUGUUUUGCGUGUAUGAUCCAAACGCAGUUUGUUUCAUUUAAGUGCGUCUUCCUACAUGCUAAUGUGUCGCAAAGACAAAGAAGUGGUGUGGCUCACGUUAUAAUGUCAAACAAACUAUCCUUUUACCUCAUACAUGUAUUUUCAAAAAUACACAAAAUUUAUAGAAAUCAUUGCCUGCUUCUAAACUUGAUGUCUGUGUAAUAAAGCUCUAAACUAAGAAAAUAAUAGAGCAAUAAGAUUCAGCCAAAGUAAGUAAAAUUCAGUUUAACUAUUAUGUAGACAAGUGAAAUGUUUCUAGUUACAUUUUGUUUCUU